Molecule: ribosomal RNA, 253 nt
Filed under: uncultured bacterium
Lineage: Bacteria
Description: partial 16S ribosomal RNA
Rfam family: Bacterial small subunit ribosomal RNA
Source: RNAcentral
UACGGGGGGAGCAAGCGUUGUUCGGAUUUACUGGGCGUAAAGGGCGCGUAGGCGGCGCGACAAGUCACUUGUGAAAUCUCUGGGCUCAACCCAGAACGGUCAAGUGAUACUGUCGUGCUAGAGUGCGGAAGGGGCAACUGGAAUUCUUGGUGUAGCGGUGAAAUGCGCAGAUAUCAGGAGGAACACCGGUGGCGAAGGCGGGUCUCUGGGCCGUAACUGACGCUGAGGAGCGAAAGCGUGGGGAGCGAACAGG